RNAcentral lists this ribosomal RNA (472 nucleotides) under uncultured organism. Its description in RNAcentral is "partial 16S ribosomal RNA". It matches the Rfam family "Bacterial small subunit ribosomal RNA", at positions 334 to 797 of the family's 1533-position model. The record is from RNAcentral.
CACUCCUACGGGAGGCAGCAGUGGGGAAUAUUGCACAAUGGGCGCAAGCCUGAUGCAGCCAUGCCGCGUGUAUGAAGAAGGCCUUCGGGUUGUAAAGUACUUUCAGCGGGGAGGAAGGCGAUAAGGUUAAUAACCUUGUCGAUUGACGUUACCCGCAGAAGAAGCACCGGCUAACUCCGUGCCAGCAGCCGCGGUAAUACGGAGGGUGCAAGCGUUAAUCGGAAUUACUGGGCGUAAAGCGCACGCAGGCGGUCUGUCAAGUCGGAUGUGAAAUCCCCGGGCUCAACCUGGGAACUGCAUUCGAAACUGGCAGGCUAGAGUCUUGUAGAGGGGGGUAGAAUUCCAGGUGUAGCGGUGAAAUGCGUAGAGAUCUGGAGGAAUACCGGUGGCGAAGGCGGCCCCCUGGACAAAGACUGACGCUCAGGUGCGAAAGCGUGGGGAGCAAACAGGAUUAGAAACCCCAGUAGUCCCA